GCCUAGGUGGCACAGUGGUUGAGCAUCUGCCUUCAGCUCAGGUCGUGAUCCUGGGAUCCUGGGAUCAAGUCCCAAACUGGGCU
Molecule: non-coding RNA, 83 nt
Organism: Canis lupus familiaris (dog)
Lineage: Eukaryota; Metazoa; Chordata; Mammalia; Carnivora; Canidae
Source: Rfam